GUCCCCGUAGCUCAAUGGAAGAGCGCCGGUCUCCGAAGCCGGGCCCGUGGAGGUUCGACUCCUCCCGGGGACGCCA
This 76-nucleotide transfer RNA is filed under the name Myxococcales bacterium. RNAcentral's name for it is "tRNA-Arg". It matches the Rfam family "tRNA". From Rfam's summary of the family: Transfer RNA (tRNA) molecules are approximately 80 nucleotides in length. Their secondary structure includes four short double-helical elements and three loops (D, anti-codon, and T loops). The record is from RNAcentral. Lineage: Bacteria; Pseudomonadati; Myxococcota; Myxococcia; Myxococcales.